AACUCACAAUUCUGUCAACAUUCAUGUUGCUGAAUUGUUUCCAGAAAAGAGCCUCCCGUUUCCCUACAGCUCAGACAUGAUGGCCAUCUUCCUCUCUGUAUUUGUGACAAUGUUCACACUCAGAGGAAUAGGAGCUCAGAAAGUGACCCAGCCCGAGGACCACAUCUCUGUCUUCAAAGGGGACCCAGUGCAGGUCAAGUGCAACUACUCAUAUUCUGGGAGUCCUGUGCUCUUCUGGUAUGUCCAGUACCCCAAACAAGGCCUCCAGUUACUCCUGAAACACAUCUCAGGAGGAAGUGUCAAAGGUUUCACAGCCAGUCUUAACCAGCGUGAGACGUCUUUCCAUCUGAAGAAACCGUCAGCUCAAGAGGAAGACUCAGCCAUGUAUUACUGUGUUCUGAGCGGUUCAGGCUGGCAACUGACCUUUGGAUCCGGGACCCAGUUGACUGUUGUACCUGCUAUUCAGAACCCUGACCCCGCCGUGUACGAGCUGAAAAGUUCUAAAUCCAAUAACACCUUUGUCUGCCUGUUCACCGAUUUUGAUUCACGAGACGAUGUAGAACAAGCCAGAGAGUCCAACAUGACUAGAUUGGCAGGUACUGUGCUGGACAUGAAGACUAUGGAUUCUAAGAGCAAUGGGGCCGUGGCCUGGAGCACCAACUUUGAUUUGGGAUGCAGGAGUACCUUCAACCAGACCUUCCACUCCAGCUCGGAAUUUUCCUGUGAUGCCAAUCUGGUAGAGAAAGGCUUUGAAACAGAUAUGGACCUAAAUCUCCACAACCUGAUAGUGAUUGGGCUCCGUAUCUUCCUCCUGAAGGUGGUUGGCUUUAAUCUGCUCAUGACGCUGAGGUUGUGGUCCAGCUGAGGUCACCAAGAAUGUGAGAGCCCAGCGCUCCCCUGCUCCCGCCGCACCUCCUCCCCCUCUUCAAGCAGAGAGGCACACUCCUGCCACCAUGGAGAAGAAGGUUCCCUCCGCCUCUCUGGUCCCACUGGCAAUGCCACUGACCAGAUCCUGUCAGAUGUUUGUGAUCAAGAUGCUGAAGAGCUGCCAAACACCGCUACGACCCCCUCUGUCCCCUCAUCGCUGCUUGUCACUGCCUGACACUCCCGGCAAAGGCAUGGGGCUACUGUGGCCUCACCUGGCUGGGGAGAAACUCCCCAACCUUCCCCUGAGACUGCCCAUAUGUCCCCUGUUUGAGGGAUCCCCAGUGGGUCCUCUUGGGCUCUAGCUCCUGGAGAAUGUUGUGAGGAGUUUAUAUGUUUUAAAUAAUGUUCAUAAAGGAAUAACACAUUACACUUUUCCCCAAGAUGUGGGGAAAAUUAUUAUCUAGACCCUGCUGUGCUGUGUAUCUGAGCCACAUUGUAUAUUCUGCUGCCUAUGACUUCAUUAAAGGUGAUUGAAAGAGCA
This is a non-coding RNA of Hyaena hyaena (striped hyena), 1408 nucleotides long. The record is from the annotation of a RefSeq genome assembly. Lineage: Eukaryota; Metazoa; Chordata; Mammalia; Carnivora; Hyaenidae.